UAACAACGAUUUUGCUUGCAAGUGGAUAUUCAUGUCGCAUAGACAAUGAUAUUCUGAGGUUUAGACGAGAACUGUUUGGUGUUGUGUAGCAAGGGAAUGAAGCUAACCCCAAUAUGCUUGUCUCCAUCAAAAUCAAACCAAAUUACACAGUAACAAACCACCUCGUACUCGUUUCAAACAACCUUGUACUUGUCUCAGUCUCAGAAAACAGCUGAAACCUUUUUGUUCAACCUAUAACAACAACUUGAUUGUUUGAUUCAGUCGUGGACUCGUGGGUCGGUUGCUUCCG
This 289-nucleotide long non-coding RNA is filed under the name Trifolium pratense (red clover). RNAcentral's name for it is "long non-coding RNA (TPRA_LNC001656)". The record is from RNAcentral. Lineage: Eukaryota; Viridiplantae; Streptophyta; Magnoliopsida; Fabales; Fabaceae.